Cornus florida is the source of this 7482-nucleotide long non-coding RNA. RefSeq lists it as uncharacterized. The record is from RefSeq and is a predicted model, not a curated record. Lineage: Eukaryota; Viridiplantae; Streptophyta; Magnoliopsida; Cornales; Cornaceae. The transcript is spliced from 2 exons.
CUGAAAUUGAUUUAUUUUUACCUUUUAUUGCUUCUGGUCUGUUCUGGAUAUUUGGGCUCUCCAAUUUUGUACUUGGCUUGCCGUUUAGACCCAAUUUUUCAGUAUGUUUCUGCUUGACUCCCUAGAACAGAAUUGUGUUCUGUCCUCUUUAACAUUUAUUGAUUCUAUUCUUAUUGCAUUGGUCUGAAUCCUACCCAUGGCUGAAAAUAAAUUACAAAACCAACAGGCCUGUGGCCUAGCGGUACAAGGCUCCUACUUCCCAAAGGGAGGUUAGGAGUUCGAACCUCAGUGGAGGCAGUGUGUGUGAGUCCCAACUAGGAAAAAAAAAAAAAAUUACAACCCCUCAAGGACACACGAUGAUAUGCCUAAAUUGAUCACCUCGAAAAUAUUAAAUGGUGUUAAUUAUUUGUCUUGGGCACAUGCUGUUCAAAUUUUUCUGCGUGGAAAAAGAAAGUUGAAAUACUUGACUGAAAAUCCUCCCUCUCACAAGAAGGAACUUGAAGAUUGGGCAUGUGAUGAUUGUGUUGUUAUGGGAUGGCUAUGGCAUAGUAUGGAACCCGUUAUUGCUAGUACAAUUGAAUUUUGUGACUCUUUUAAGUAGAUUUGGGAGUCUCUUGCUGAGUCAUGUUCACACCUCUCGCCUAUUUGUAUAUUAAGAAGAUAAAAUUUCAGCAGUUACAAUAGUGUCCUUGUAUUUGGUUUCUUCCAUAUUUCUAAUGGAAUUGUCUAAUAAAAUUGCACUAAAUGGCCAUGGAAGCAACCAAAUCAGUUUUGGUGAUAGCUUUUCCAUUUCUUCUUUUUAUUUACUUUUUAUUUGUUGAUGUCUCCUUUAUUAUUAUAUUUUCUGUAUUGAUUCUUUAUUCUCAUUGCUCUAAUAUUCCUUUUCCUUGCUGAAGUAGCUCUCUUAUAUUCUUUUCACAUUAACUUUUAUUCUUCUGAUAAGUAUUUUCUUAUGGAACAAGAAGGCUAUUAACAGACAAAUAUUAAUGUGUUUCUUCUCUUUUUUCUUAUGCUCAUGUUCUGGACGUGUUUCAAAACAGUGUUUCAAUUUGAAUUUUAUUUUAAAGUUCAAACGUUUGAUGAAAUCUUGACUUGAUUAGACAUCUUUGGGAACAUAUGAGAAUUUAUAUCAUUGAUUGGUUGUUGAUAUAAUUGUUAAUUUAAUUUUGAUUCACUUGUUAUCAUUUUUGUUAGUCGAUAUGAUGGCCACGAUUUAUGGAAUGACUUGCCAUAUUAGCAGAGACUUGAUUAUGCUUUAGAAUAUGCUUUGAUUUAAUUUAGAUUUGAUUUAAUUUCCUUUCUUGUAAUAUGAACAUUUGCUCUUUUUAUCUAUAAAUACUAGGGUUGUGAAUGAGUAUAGGUAUUUUUAAGCUUUACAAUUUCUUUUUUACUCUUCUAGGGUUGGGUAAAUUGGGAUAGUUGGUCUCCAACACCUAGAAGGGCUUGGGUAAUUUUUUUUUGAGUCUACAGAGAAGUUCCGGAUAUUGUUUAGGAGGCUGUCCGGCUAUAUGUAAGUGGGUAGCGCUCCUUGAAAAAGUCUGUAUUUGGACUUUUCGGGAAUGGUUUGAGCAGACAUUGUUAUUGUUUAUGGUCUGAGGAGAUCCUUUGAUUUAUUAACAGAAUUUGUGGUGUUUUUGUAGUUGUUUAUUGUCGUUUGACAGAUAAUGCAGAUUUAGAGUCAUCGACUGUUAAUUCUCUUGGCUCAAGUUCUGUGGGUGGUGGUGCCAUUUUUUCCACCAACUCAUUAGAAAAUCCAGGACUUCAAAUCGCCAUAGUGAAGUUAGAUGGCUCCAACUAUUUGAUUUGGGCACAGUCUGCCAAGAUGUUCAUUCGUGGCAAAGGCAAGAUUGGCUAUAUUACUGGUUCUGAGAAAAAUCCAGCGGAGUCAGGAAGGCAUAACCAUAGUGGUUGGCAGAUAAUGCUAUGGUUAUGCCUUGGCUAAUCAAUUCAAUGUAGCCAAACAUAGCCGUUGGCUACAUGUUUAUGAAGACUGCUAAGCAGAUUUGGGAUUCAGUUCAAUGCAUUUAUUCUCAGAGGCAGAAUAAUGCACUAAUUUUCCAGUUGGGGCGAGAUAUCACUAGGAUUUCUGAGGGUGACUUGACAAUUUCAGGUUACAUCGCCAAGCUUUGUCCUAUUUGGGAAGAGAUGUCAUAUUAUGAUUCCUUUCACUCUUGGAAGGAUCCAGAUGAUGUAAUUUUAUAUGUAGGGAUUGCGGAGAAGAAUCAAGUGUUUCAGUUUCUUGUCGGGUUGAAAGACGAGUUUGAGUAUGCUCUUGUUCAUUUAUUAGGCUUUUCUUCAUUCCCCACUCUUGAUGAUGCAUACUCCUAUGUGUUGUCAGACGAGAGUUGUCAAACUCAUUCAUUAGGUGUUGAAACUGUUGGUCGUUUUGCUAUUGCAGUUCGUGUUCCCAACCUUUCAGGAACUGCACCAUCCCAGUCAGUUCAGAGUUCUACUACUGGUCCUCAUCUGGGACGACAAUGUGGGCGGUGUGACCAUUGCGGAAAAAUUGGUCACAUCAAAUUUCGUUGUUAUGCACUACAUGGAAGCCCACUGCAACAGAAACAACAGCCUCGAUCCUUUGCCCAUUCUGUUACACAUCCAGUCUCGUUGUCGACUCUUGACAACUUUGCCUCGUCAUCUUCUUCCACAGUUACUUUACUCAAGCUGAUUUGGACAAGUUCAAACAAUUCUUCAAUCAAAUGGAGGCAUCAUCUCUACCAACUUCAACUUAUGCCCACUUAGGUACUAUUGCGUCUGCACAUAGCGUAUCUACAUCUUCGACACCAUGGAUCAUUGAUUUUGGUGCUUCAGAUAAUAUAACUGGUAUGUCCUCAUUUUUCCAAUCUUAUAGUAUAUGCUCUAGCCAUCGCAAGACGUACCUUGCGAUGGCUCUCCAUUUUCCAUUACUGGGAAGGGUCACAUAUCAGUUACUCCUUCAUUAACUCUAACUUUGUCCGAUACACUUCAUGUUCCCUAGUUGACUACAAAUCUUAUUUCUGUUAGUAGCCUUACUAAACAAUUAAAUUAUAGUGUAACAUUCUUUCCUUCUCACCGUUUUUUUCAGGAUUUGGUGUCGAAACGGGCGAUUGGCAAUAGACGUGAAGUGGACGGCCUAUACUUGUUGGAUACUCCUUUGUCACCUCAAGGAUUUGGUGUCGAAACGGGCGAUUGGCAAUAGACGUGAAAUGGACGGCCUAUACUUGUUGCAUACUCCUUUGUCACCUCAAGCACAUUCAAUUUCUUUUUCUAAUUCUGUUUCAUCUAAUGAAACCCAGAUUAUGCGUUGGCACAUGCGUUUAGGACAUUUCUUUCGAUUAUUUAAAACAUUUGUUUCCUUCUUUAUUUUGUAACGCGACAGUCUCAGAUUUAUCCCGCGAGACGUGCCAAUUAUCCUGCUAGUAGUAAUAAAUCUGCUUUAACACGUUUUGAUCUUGUUCAUUCAGAUGUGUGGAGUCCUUGCCGAGUUACUUCUAGUCUUGGAUUUCGAUAUUUUGUGUUGUUCAUUCAUGAUCAUAGUCGUGUUACAUGGGUUUAUCUUAUGAAAACCAAAAAUGAGGUGCACACCAUUUUUAAUUUUUUUAUGACAAUGGUUCAGACUCUAUGGUCGUACCAUUAAAAAAAUUAGAUUUGAACAAGGUACGGACUUAUUGGGAGGUACAACGGUUAUGUACAAAAUUUGGGAUUGAGCAUCAAAUGUCUAAUGUUAAAACUCUUUAACAGAAUGACCGUUCUGAGAGAAAAUCGUCACAUCCUUGACUUGGCCCAAGUCAAGAGCAAUCUGCAUUGGCAUGAAUGUUCCCUAUUCAUUUUGAGGAGAUGCAGUUCUCAUAGCUAUCUACAUCAUUAAUAGGACCCUUCUCAGGUUCUUAACUUUGCAGCCCCACUCUUAAUCUUACAUCCCAAUUCAUCUAUUUUUUUAUUCCUCCGCGAGUCUUCAGGUGUGCGUGCUUUGUUCAACAGUUGGGACAGACUCGUAUAAAGCUUGACCCCAAGGCUUUGAAGUGUGUGUUUUUGGGCUAUUCUCACUCUCAAAAAGGUUAUAGGUGUUAACCAUCCUCUGAGUCGUCAGAGGUUUAUAUCUAUGGAUGUUUCUUUCUUUGAGCAUACACCAUACUAUAGUGGUUCGGUUGGUUCUCAAAGUGAAUGGUUUUCAUUGAACACAAUCGAUGAUCACCUUCUUUCAUCUUCAAAUCCUCUACCUUUACCUGUUUUGUCUUCUGUUAUUCCUCCUUGUUAUACUCCUCCAGCAGGGGGAGUUGUUCCUUUUCCACAGGUUUAUAGUCGGAGACAAUAGCUACAAGCCUACCCUAUUUCUAAUUUUGUUUCUGAUUGUGCUCUCUCACCCACCUAUCGGAGUUUUCUUGUUUCUGUUGCCUCGGUUCCUCUUCCUUUUUGUGUUGCAGAUGCUUUAGCACAACCUCAAUGGCAUGAUGUUAUGAUAGAAGAAUUAUAAGACUUGAGAAAAAUCAGACUUGGGACAUGGUUCCGCUUCCUAUUGGACGAAAGGCUGUGGGUUGUCGUUGGAUGUUUACAAUUAAGCAUAAUCCAUAUAGGUCAGUUGCUCGUUACAAGGCCCGGUUGGUUGCCAAAGGUUAUGCUCAGACUUAUGGCAUAGAUUGCCAAGAUGAAUACCAUCUGUGUAUUAUUUUCCGUUGCUGCGAUUCGAUCUUGGCCUCUAUUUCUGUUAGAUGUCAAGAAUGCCUUUCUCAAUGGUGAUUUGCACGAGGAGGUGUAUAUGGUUCCCCUUCUGGGCUUUCGUUCUCUUGCUCAUUCCAGUAUGGUCUGUUGUCUUCGUCGCUCCCUGUAUGGCCUCAAGCAGUCUCCUCGAGCUUGGUCUGAUCGCUUUGGCACUGCCAUGAUCCGAUUUGGUUUCCAUCAGAGUGUAGCUGAUCAUACCUUGUUCUUGUGUCAUUCAGGUGGUAAGACAGUUGCUCUCAUUAUGUAUGUCGAUGAUACUACCAGAAUUGCUGAGAUUAAGAGCUAACUUGGCCGUCAGUUUUAGAUUAAGGAUCUUGGUCCCCUUUGGUACUUCUUGGGCAUUGAGGUGGCUAGCUCCAAGGCUGGCAUUUUCAUCUCUAAACGCAAGUAUGUUCUUGACUUGCUUUCUUCUUCUGGUCAGCUUAGCGCUCGAUCGUGCUGAUAUUCCGAUUGAGCAGAAUCAUUGGUUGGCUGAUUAUGAGGGGGAGUUGUUGUCGAAUGUUGGUCAGCAUCGACAACUUGUUGGGAAGCUCAUCUCUUUAUCCAUGACUUGACUUGACAUUGCUUAUGCCGCGAGUGUCGUGAGUCAAAUUCAUGCAUUCUCCUGUACCCCUUACCUUGAUGCAGCUAUUUGGAUCCUUCGCUACUUAAAGGGGUGUUCGGGCCGUGGUGUUUUGUUUUCCAAUCAUGGUCACUUAAGUGUUAAGGCUUGGACAUAUGUUGAUUAUGGAGGAUUAGUUUCAAAUAGGAGGUCCACUUCGGGCUAUUGUACCACUAUUGGUGGCAACUUGGUUACUUGGUGCAUAAGAAGCAGGAUGUUGUCUCUCGAUCUAGUGCAGCGGAGUAUAGAGCUAUGGCUCUUGGGGUAUGUGAGUUGCAUGGUUGAAAACCUUGAUGACAAACGUGUGCCUUCCAGUGUCGCUUCCAUUCUCACUUUAGUGUGACAACAAGUCUGCCAUUAACAUAGCAGUAAAUCUCGUUCAACAUGACAGAACUUAGCAUAUAGAGGUGGAUUGUCACUUCAUUCGAGAGAAGAUCAUUUCUGGUCAAAUUUACACUCCAUUUGUCACAAGCUCUCAGCAGUUUGCAGACAUUCUUACAAAGGGCGUCAGGAAGAUUGUGCUUGAGAAUGCAUUGUUCAAGUUGGGCGUUUCAGAUAUCCACGCACCAACUUAAGGGGGAGUGUUAGCAGAUAUGAUAGCCACGAUUUAUGGAAUGACUUACCAUAUUAGCAGAGACUUGAUUAUGCUAUAUAAUAUGCCAUAUAAUAUACUUUAGAAUAUGCUAUGAUUUGAUUUAAAUUUGAUUUAAUUUCCUUUCUUGUAAUAUGAGCAUGUUCUCUUUUUAUCUAUAAAAACUAGAACUGUAAAUGAGUGAUUCAUCUCAUUCAAGCCUUUACACAAUUUUCUCCGUCUUCUUCUUUUUAUAUUUUUUCUACUUGCUCUUCUGAGGUGGGAGUCCCUAACGGAACUGGGGUUUGGAAAUUCAUCCGGAAGGGGUGGGAUGAAUUUUGUAAACACAUCAGAUUUCAUGGUAGGGAUGUCAGGGUAUCCGUUUUUGGGAGGUCACUUGGUGCGGUGGUUGUCCUUUUGCCUUCACUUUCCCUAGACUUUUCCGAAUUGCUUUAGAUAGACAUGCCUUGGUGAUCGACUGCUAUUGUCUCAACAGUUGGAGAAUGGUUUGGGAUGUUAAUUUCCCGAGGCAUUUUCAAGAUUGGGUGAUUGAGGGUGCCAUUGGUUUUUUUGGAGCUGCUUUAUCGCUUAGAGAUUGUGGGGGAGGUUACGACCUUGUGUGUGGAUUCCUUCUUCUCUGGGUCAUUUUGAUGUUCGGUCAUUUUACAGAAUUCUUUCGGAUGCUCGGGGCACUACCUUCCCAUGGAGGGCCAUUUGGCGUUCAAAAGCCCCUCUCAAAGUGGCUUUCUUUGCAUGGACGUCCAUCUUGGGGAAGAUCUUAACCCAAGAUAACCUCAAGGGGAGGAAACAGAUUGUGGUCAUUUGGUGUUGCAUGUGUAAGAAUGACGAGUAAACGGUUGAUCACCUCCUUUUGCAUUGUCUCGUGGCUCGGAAUUGCAGGAUUUUGUUGUUGGGUUUGUUUGGGGUUCAGUGGGUUACGCUCAGGUCCUCGAGAGACUUGGUUGAUGCUUGGAGAGGUUGUAUGGUGGGGGCCCAAGUUGGUGAUUUCUGGAGGGUUAGACUUUAUGCGUCUGGUGGUGUUUAUGGCUUGAAAGAAAUAGGAGAUCCUUUGAAGGAAAGGAGAAUCCUAUUGGGAUGUUGAAGUUUUUCAUUACUAGUACUCUUUCUUGUUGGGUUCUAGAGAGAAAUUGUAAAUCCUUGGAGGAACUUGUUGAUUUUUGGGACUCUUCGAGUGUAUAGAGGCCCUAUUUGGCCUUGUGUAACUUUUGAGGAAUGUGUUUCUCGCGUUUGAACACUUUUUAUACAAUCUUUCCUUAUCGAAAAAAAAAAAAAAAUCAAUACCAAGCUGUCUAUAAGUUUGUUAUUGCAAAACUUUGGCUGAACCGCAAGGAGGGACCCAGAGGUCAUCAUGGUACUGGUACAGAAGCUUCUGUUUCUGUUAGAAAUCUGUGUUGGAUACUUUGGGGAUGAAUAUUGAGGAUCUUAAUGCUAUCCGUUUCUGGUUUACUUUUCAUGUGGACAAUUAAGAUUCAGCUAGAUGAUUCUGUAUGUUUAUUUUUUUAUUAUUUUAUUUUAUAUAUAUAUAUAAAAUAAAAAAAUAAAAAAUAAACAUACAGAAUAUAUAUAUAUAUAUAUAUAUAUAAAAUAAUAA